AUGANGCUCUCAGUUGAGUUAUUUGCUUGGGCAGAGACUCACAUUCUUUCUAUUUCUGCUGUUCACAUUCAGGGUUCCCUCAACAACUUUGCAGAUGGUUUGAGCAGGGUGCACCUUCCCCUCUCAGAAUGGCAGCUAGACCCAGCCAUUUUCCAGGACCUGACAGUUCGGUGGGGAGUUCCCCAGGUGGACCUCUUUGCCUCCCAGGACAACCACCAGAUGCCUCUGUUUUAUUCCAGACACAGGGAUCCACUUGCAACUGCAGCAGAUGCCCUUUCAGCUCCCUGGCCACCUCUACGCCUUCCCGCCCUUCCCCCUCCUGUUCCGCUUUCUNAGGCAGGUUCAGCGGGAGCAUGCCCAGGUCAUUCUGAUAGCUCCCUUUUGACCCAGGAGGCCUUGGUUCCCUCUCCUCUCGCCUAUGUUGAUAGAGUUGCCAGGUCGUCUUCCUCCUCACGAGACCCUUCUCCGGCAGAAGGGUCUGUUUCAUCAGGACCCAGGCUGGCUUUCCCUGAUAGCCUGGAGACUCAACGGAGGGGGUUCCAGGAUCUGGGACUUGACAAGUCUGUGAUCUCUACCCUUCUAGCCUCCAGGAGGGCUUCCACCAACAGGAUUUAUGGCUCUUCCUGGAAGGCUUUCCUUCAUUGGUGUAGGCCCCGUAAGAUCGAUGCCUCCCAUCCCACCUCAGAGCAGGUGGUGGGUUUCGUGCAAUCAGGUCUCACUAAGGGACUAGCAUACAACACCCUCAAAAAGCAGGUGUUUGCUAUUUCAGCGGUGUUAGAAUUUUACCCAGUGCCUAGAUUUACGUCGGAUAGGUUAGUCAAGCGGUUCUUGGCUGGGGCGAAAGCGCUGUCUCUUGCGGUGGUCCACCGCUACCCUACCUGGGANCUGCAUCUGGUGUUGUCAGCCCUAGUAGGCCCCCCUUUUGAACCCAUUAAUGAGAUAUCACUGAGGCUUCUUACUUAUAAGAUUGCUUUCCUGGUGGCCAUCACCUCUGCCAGGCGGGUGUCGGAUCUGGCCGCCCUCUCUAUAGAUCAGUCCCUUUGCUCUUUCACUCCGAACUCAGUUAUCCUCCGACUGGAUCCUGCUUUCCAGCCAAAGGUGGACUCAGUCUUUCAUAGGUCCCAGGAGAUCCACCUUCCUUCCCUGUGUCCUCGCCCCAAGCAUGCCUUGGNGAGACAGUAG
Molecule: long non-coding RNA, 1182 nt
Filed under: Salvator merianae (Argentine black and white tegu)
Lineage: Eukaryota; Metazoa; Chordata; Lepidosauria; Squamata; Teiidae
Description: lncRNA (ENSSMRG00000000433.1)
Source: RNAcentral